GGAAGGAUAGAAUGGUCUUUUGCCACUUUACAACUCUUUAAAGCCCAUUGUACAAACCUCUUAAGCACAAGUGUUGAAAACUUGUUUUCAACACCUGAUGAUACCACGCGGAUCUACUUGACCCGGUUUUUGUUUGAUGGAUCCAAUAUAUUCGUAUUAUCACAGUUUACAACCACAAUUUCAUCCGCCGCUCCACAUUUCUUUCACUUUCUAAACCCUAGAUCCUCCACCGCAUAACUGAAGCACCUCCACCGCAUAACUGAAGCACCUCCACCGCACCUCCACCGCACCUCCACCGCUCAUCCAUGGAACCUGUCUUUGCCAUCACCGUCUUCUCCCCUUUCAUCCAUGGAACAGGUCAUGUUUUUAACCCUAUUUUGUACGUUUUUUUUUUAAUCUUUGUCAGAUCUGUGAUAAUACUUUUAGAUCUGUUUUAAUACUUUUAGAUUUGUGAUAAUACUUUUAGAUCUGUGAUAAUACUUUUAGAUCUGUGAUAAUACUUUUAGAUCUGUGUUGGUUUUGUGAUUAUUUUAAUGUUCUGUGAACACCGUCUUCUCCCCUUUCAUCCAUGGAACAGGUCAUGUUUUUAACCCUAUUUUGUACGUUUUUUUUAAUCUUUGUCAGAUCUGUGAUAAUACUUUUAGAUCUGUUUUAAUACUUUUAGAUUUGUGAUAAUACUUUUAGAUCUGUGAUAAUACUUUUAGAUCUGUGAUAAUACUUUUAGAUCUGUGUUGGUUUUGUGAUUAUUUUAAUGUUCUGUGAAUGGAUCAACAUUAGGGCUUUUUGUUUGAUAAUUAGGGCUUUGUCAGAUCUGUGAAUGGACCAAUUUUAAUUUCUUGCAUUAGGGCUUUGUCAGAUCUGUGAUAAUACUUUUAGAUCUGUUUUAAUACUUUUAGAUCUGUGAUAAUACUUUUAGAUCUGUGAAUCUGUGAUAAUUCUUUUAGAUCUAUGAUAAUACUUUUAGAUGUGUGAUAAUACUUUUAGAUCUGUGUUGGUUUUGUGAUUAUUUUAAUGUUCUGUGAGAUUUAUAGAGAAAACGUAAUUUCUGUUUCAUAAUUAGGGCUUUUUGUUUGAUCUAAUCGGUUACUGAAUUAUGGUUUUGUUUGUAAGGAGAAUCCGAUUGCAAGCUCACCGGCGAAGGAAGCAUACAGGAAUCGGCUGGCGGACAGCCUCAACAUGGGAGUUAUGGAUUGGUUUGAUCCAAUUGCUGAUUCGACUACUAGCCAUCUCGAUCUGAUUCCCCACAUGGUUUAGGGGAGAAGUUUAAAACAACAGGACUAUGGAAGGAUAUACGGUGCUACAUUGACAGUCAAGU
Helianthus annuus (common sunflower) is the source of this 1315-nucleotide long non-coding RNA. RefSeq lists it as uncharacterized. The transcript is spliced from 3 exons. NCBI's taxonomy places the organism in Eukaryota, Viridiplantae, Streptophyta, Magnoliopsida, Asterales, Asteraceae. The record is from RefSeq and is a predicted model, not a curated record.